UACGGAGGAUGCGAGCGUUAUCCGGAUUUAUUGGGUUUAAAGGGUGCGCAGGCGGCGUGUCAAGUCAGCGGUAAAAUGUCGGGGCUCAACCCCGGCCGGCCGUUGAAACUGGCGUGCUCGAGUUGGAGAGAAGUAUGCGGAAUUCGUGGUGUAGCGGUGAAAUGCAUAGAUAUCACGAAGAACCCCGAUUGCGAAGGCAGCAUACCGGCUCCACACUGACGCUGAGGCACGAAAGCGUGGGUAUCAAACAGG
Molecule: ribosomal RNA, 252 nt
Filed under: uncultured bacterium
Lineage: Bacteria
Description: partial 16S ribosomal RNA
Rfam family: Bacterial small subunit ribosomal RNA
Source: RNAcentral